Long non-coding RNA from Megalops cyprinoides (Indo-Pacific tarpon), 710 nucleotides. RefSeq lists it as uncharacterized. NCBI's taxonomy places the organism in Eukaryota, Metazoa, Chordata, Actinopteri, Elopiformes, Megalopidae. The record is from RefSeq and is a predicted model, not a curated record. The transcript has 4 exons.
UGGGUCCUUGGAUGGCUUGUUUUGACCCAAGGCGUCCGUCGGCAAUCGUCGAGAAGUGGGUUGAAAAAAACCAAAGCAAGAAAAUCAGUAAACCCAAAUAUUACUAGUUUAGAGUAGUAUGAUUUCUUGUUUUCUAUAAAUCAACAGAUAUUCACUACCUCGCUACGCCAUUUAACAGUUGAAACUACACGAAUUAGCGUAGCUAGCGAGCUAGUUCCCAAUGCUUUAUUUGGAGACAUUGUUUUCUACACAAGGAAGGCCUUGGGGAUCCGCGGACUGAAUAAGACAGCUAACCCGCUAGCGUGCUGCUUAACCCGUAGUGGAGAUCGCGGUCGAGACAUUGGGUUGUGGUAUCAGACUACAGCAGUGAGAGACGCCCCAAGUCUCUCUGUUUUGGCCCUGUCUUGCCCCCCUGUCUCACCCCCCUGUCCUCCCCAUGAUGGUGUGUGAGCUCUUCCUGUUGUCCUCCGUGUGGUUCCUCUUUGUCAUCUUCUGGAUGGAGACCAUAAGUGUCUGGCUCUUUCUCUGCAACUUCUACCAGGACCGGGCCUUCUACCACUGGGGAGAUGGGGUCUUUGCUGAUGACCCUGGUCACAUGCUGUACAUGCUGGGCAGAGUGGAGGGAUCAGGGCGGAUGCAGACCUGAGGAGGGCGGAGGAGGAAGAGGAGGAGAAGGAGGAGGAAGAGGAGGAGGAGGACUGUAGAGGACC